Molecule: ribosomal RNA, 253 nt
Filed under: uncultured bacterium
Lineage: Bacteria
Description: partial 16S ribosomal RNA
Rfam family: Bacterial small subunit ribosomal RNA
Source: RNAcentral
UACGGAGGGUGCAAGCAUUGAUCGGAAUUACUGGGCGUAAAGGGCGCGUAGGCGGUUUAAUAAGUCGGAUGUGAAAUUCCGGGGCUCAACCCCGGAGCUGCAUUUGAAACUGUUAAACUAGAGUACAGUUAGGGUAAACGGAAUUCCUCGUGUAGCGGUGAAAUGCGUAGAUAUGAGGAAGAACACCGGUGGUGAAGACGGUUUACUGGGCUGUAACUGACGCUGAGGCGCGAAAGCAUGGGGAGCAAACAGG